GAUGAACGCUGGCGGCGUGCCUAAUACAUGCAAGUCGAGCGAACGGACGAGAAGCUUGCUUCUCUGAUGUUAGCGGCGGACGGGUGAGUAACACGUGGAUAACCUACCUAUAAGACUGGGAUAACUUCGGGAAACCGUAGCUAAUACCGGAUAAUAUUUUGAACCGCAUGGUUCAAAAGUGAAAGACGGUCUUGCUGUCACUUAUAGAUGGAUCCGCGCUGCAUUAGCUAGUUGGUAAGGUAACGGCUUACCAAGGCAACGAUGCAUAGCCGACCUGAGAGGGUGAUCGGCCACACUGGAACUGAGACACGGUCCAGACUCCUACGGGAGGCAGCAGUAGGGAAUCUUCCGCAAUGGGCGAAAGCCUGACGGAGCAACGCCGCGUGAGUGAUGAAGGUCUUCGGAUCGUAAAACUCUGUUAUUAGGGAAGAACAUAUGUGUAAGCAACUGUGCACAUCUUGACGGUACCUAAUCAGAAAGCCACGGCUAACUACGUG
Molecule: ribosomal RNA, 497 nt
Filed under: uncultured bacterium
Lineage: Bacteria
Description: partial 16S ribosomal RNA
Rfam family: Bacterial small subunit ribosomal RNA
Source: RNAcentral